Molecule: small nuclear RNA, 106 nt
Organism: Suricata suricatta (meerkat)
Lineage: Eukaryota; Metazoa; Chordata; Mammalia; Carnivora; Herpestidae
Source: Ensembl
GUGCUCACUUAGGCAGCACGUAUACUAAAGUUGAAUAAUACAGAAGAGAUUAGCAUGGCCCCUGCACAGGGAUGAUUUGCAAAUUCGUGAAGUGUUCCAUAUAUUU